GACCUGAUAGUGCAGUGGUUAGCGCGCUUCCUCCAGAAGAGUGAGACGCGGGUUCGAAUCCGGACUCGGGUCG
This is a non-coding RNA of Parelaphostrongylus tenuis, 73 nucleotides long. NCBI's taxonomy places the organism in Eukaryota, Metazoa, Nematoda, Chromadorea, Rhabditida, Metastrongylidae. The record is from the annotation of a GenBank genome assembly.